Coturnix japonica (Japanese quail) is the source of this 134-nucleotide non-coding RNA. NCBI's taxonomy places the organism in Eukaryota, Metazoa, Chordata, Aves, Galliformes, Phasianidae. The record is from RefSeq and is a predicted model, not a curated record.
AUUGACCAGGGACUCGGGAAGUUUUCCCCUGAUGAGUUCCACGCACUCACCAGGGAAAAAACCAACCUCAAAGCCACGCUUGCCUCUCCACCAGGGGCUCAGCUCCUUUGGUGGCAUAUCAGUGAUGCACACCA